AAUGCGUCUUGCGUGCCGAUCUCACCAGGUUAAAUCUCUUCCGAUCCAGAUAUAAUAAGUCUGAUUACGUUUGGAGUAAGACAAACCCACUUCCUAAGACUUUCAGACGGUCCUGUGGGCUUCACCCUGCACCUGUUCUGUCAUUGAUAUAAUUAAUUUAGCUUACUUAUACUCAGUCCUAACGUCAACUAUAAGAUACGUAUUGCCUAAGCCGUUAUUCUUUUGCUGCUCUUUUAUCAGCCUGUUCGAAUAUGUUUAACAAAAGUCUAAAUUUGCCUCGGUGAUAAUAUGUUGACUUUUGGUGCAUUUCUACGACGUGAUCACUGGGCAUUUGUAUUAUUGGCUGAUUCUGUUUUCGGGACGCGGAUGAAUGGGGCCGGUCGUUGAUCAACAUCUGAGGAACAAACGGGAUGUUGGCUCUACAGCUGAAGGCGGUAGCGGCGAGGGCGCCGCGGACCUAAACCGGAGCUGUAUAUUAUUUGUUCUUCAGCAAGAUGGAACACUGGUUACAUCGAUCAAACAGAGCUACACUGAGAUCUCAUACUUUUUGGCUGAUCUCUUCCUCCCUUCGCAACGACAUAGCUCUUAUGUGUUGACAACUCUGGUGUCUUCCUAACGUACAUCUAGAAGCGUAUAUAUAUAUAUAUAUAUUAUGACAGCAUUGUUGCAAGUGAAUUUUUGUGCCGUAUUUUAUUCGAUUACGCUCGUCACUGAUACAUCGUCGAAUUGUAAACCCGGCUACGUAAUCGGACCAGUCUAUGACGACGGUCGACAAAAAAGAACUUUCUUGCCACGUCGUCUUUUAGCACUUAGAUCCGAUUGUAAUUGUAUGCAAUUGUAUGUAAUUAAAUGUUAUUUUUUUUUAUGAA
Molecule: long non-coding RNA, 869 nt
Organism: Varroa destructor (honeybee mite)
Lineage: Eukaryota; Metazoa; Arthropoda; Arachnida; Mesostigmata; Varroidae
Source: RefSeq, a predicted model, not a curated record